AAGCCAUGAGGAUUACUUGCGCUGGUGUGAUGGACCGGGUUCAAUCACAACCGUCUGAUUCCAUUAGACGACAAUCCAGCGCAUCCGAGCUU
This is a non-coding RNA of Musa acuminata subsp. malaccensis (wild Malaysian banana), 92 nucleotides long. NCBI's taxonomy places the organism in Eukaryota, Viridiplantae, Streptophyta, Magnoliopsida, Zingiberales, Musaceae. The record is from Rfam.